Molecule: ribosomal RNA, 394 nt
Filed under: uncultured bacterium
Lineage: Bacteria
Description: bacterial SSU rRNA
Rfam family: Bacterial small subunit ribosomal RNA
Source: RNAcentral
GGGAUAUUGCACAAUGGGGGGAACCCUGAUGCAGCGACGCCGCGUGGGUGAAGGAGCGUUUCGGCGCGUAAAGCCCUAUCGGCAGGGAAGAAGGAGGACGGUACCUGACUAAGAAGCCACGGCUAACUACGUGCCAGCAGCCGCGGUAAUACGUAGGGGGCUAGCGUUAUCCGGAAUUACUGGGCGUAAAGGGUGCGUAGGUGGUUUCUUAAGUCAGAGGUGAAAGGCUACGGCUCAACCGUAGUAAGCCUUUGAAACUGGGGAACUUGAGUGCAGGAGAGGAGAGUGGAAUUCCUAGUGUAGCGGUGAAAUGCGUAGAUAUAUGGAAGAACACCAGUGGCGAAAGCGGCUCUCUGGUCUAUAACUGACGCUGAGGUUCGAAAGCGUGGGUAGC